RNAcentral lists this transfer RNA (77 nucleotides) under Chloroflexota bacterium. RNAcentral's name for it is "Chloroflexi bacterium (sediment metagenome) tRNA-Pro". It matches the Rfam family "tRNA". Rfam says of the family: Transfer RNA (tRNA) molecules are approximately 80 nucleotides in length. Lineage: Bacteria; Bacillati; Chloroflexota. The record is from RNAcentral.
CGGGGCGUGGCUCAGCCCGGUAGAGUGCACGGUUCGGGUCCGUGAGGUCGAGAGUUCAAAUCUCUCCGCCCCGACAA